UACAGAGGUCCCAAGCGUUGUUCGGAUUCACUGGGCGUAAAGGGUGCGUAGGUGGUUGGGUAAGUCUGAUGUGAAAUCUCCGGGCUCAACCCGGAAAUGGCAUUGGAUACUAUUCGGCUAGAGGUUUGGAGGGGGGACUGGAAUUCUCGGUGUAGCAGUGAAAUGCGUAGAUAUCGAGAGGAACACCUGCGGCGAAGGCGGGUUGCUGGGCUGACACUGACGCUGAUGUGCGAAAGCUAGGGGAGCGAACGGG
Molecule: ribosomal RNA, 253 nt
Filed under: uncultured bacterium
Lineage: Bacteria
Description: partial 16S ribosomal RNA
Rfam family: Bacterial small subunit ribosomal RNA
Source: RNAcentral